Molecule: ribosomal RNA, 305 nt
Filed under: uncultured bacterium
Lineage: Bacteria
Description: bacterial SSU rRNA
Rfam family: Bacterial small subunit ribosomal RNA
Source: RNAcentral
UGCUCCUACGGGGGGCAGCAGUGGGGAAUAUUGCGCAAUGGACGAAAGUCUGACGCAGCGACGCCGCGUGAGGGAUGAAGGUUUUCGGAUCGUAAACCUCUGUCAGGAGGGAAGAAAGCGCAUGGCGCCAAUCAGCCAUGCGUUGACGGUACCUCCAAAGGAAGCGCCGGCUAACUCCGUGCCAGCAGCCGCGGUAAUACGGAGGGCGCGAGCGUUAAUCGGAAUCACUGGGCGUAAAGCGUGCGUAGGCUGUUUCGUAAGUCGUGUGUGAAAGGCGCGGGCUCAACCCGCGGACGGCACAUGAU